This is a long non-coding RNA of Fukomys damarensis (Damara mole-rat), 419 nucleotides long. RefSeq lists it as uncharacterized. The record is from RefSeq and is a predicted model, not a curated record. NCBI's taxonomy places the organism in Eukaryota, Metazoa, Chordata, Mammalia, Rodentia, Bathyergidae. The transcript has 3 exons.
ACUUGCUCAAGAUCACACAGAAGAAAAGAGUGGGGCUGAAGUCUGAACCCCUGUGCCAAUGUUGGACUUCUGCACUCUGCUACCUUGCCUGGACCCUGCCCUUUUCUGCACACUUCUUUCUCGAGGACAUGGAAAGGAAAAAGAAAGUGCUUAUUUCCUGUGCAAACCAGUGGCCCAAUGACAGAGACAAAUAAUGCGCAAAGAAAUUAAUUACAAGUUACAAAAUGGAAUGAUGAACACAUUCUACAACGUACUGGACUCUGGAGUAACAAAUGGAUGUCAGUGAUGAGAACUCUCCUGUAGAAUGCCCUAAAAAAACUUGGAAGGAUCUUUGUAAAAUAGAAUUCACCUUUUCUGUUACCAACCUGUGAAGAUUUUCUUAGCAAGCUGACCUUCAAAUUACCCAGCGGUAAGUAGCC